AGAUAAUCGUCAUAUCAAUUGUAGCGUUCUAUGGUGUCACAGUUAAAAGAAAAUGGAAAGUCCGAACGUUGUAAAAAGGCCGGUAGUGGAGAAUACUACGAGGCUGUGGAACGAGAAUAUAUCUAAGAACAACCCUUUAGGACUGAUUAAACAAGUGGCACAAACUGCAUGUUCGUUGCUUUACCGAUCGAUUUCAUAUGAACAAUCCCAAUCAUGUUUUAGUGAAGGUUUAGAUGAAGUUACCUUG
Long non-coding RNA from Mizuhopecten yessoensis (Yesso scallop), 247 nucleotides. RefSeq lists it as uncharacterized. Lineage: Eukaryota; Metazoa; Mollusca; Bivalvia; Pectinida; Pectinidae. The transcript has 3 exons. The record is from RefSeq and is a predicted model, not a curated record.